AGUGUUCGACAUUUGACAGGAUUAUUAUAAUAAGAGUAAUUUAAUUAUUCAUAGAGUUUCUGCUUAGAGUAAUUAUUAAUUAUGCCGGGGCACUAUUGUGCAGUGCACAGCUGUAAUAACAAAAGCAAGGGCAUGGAUAAAGAAAAUUCUGCAUCAAUCUCAUUCCACUUGUUUCCUAAAGACAAGACAGUAAGGGAUAUUUGGGAAAAAUUUUGUCAGCGAAGCAAAAAUUGGAAACCAAAAUGUUCUUCCACAAUUUGUUCAGCACAUUUUUCUGCAGAUGAUUUCUACAUAAAAUACAAAAAAGAGAUGUACAGCCAAAUUCCACAUAAAAUGAGACUUAAACCAGGAGCAAUACCUGAAAAAUAUGUUCUGACUGAAAAGUGUCGUGACAGUACACAAGUUGGCAUCUUUGAACAAAAUGGUUGUUUGGCAAAUGAAGAUCAACUUGGUAUCUUUGAACAGAAUGGUUCAAUGGAAGAUGAAGAUAAAGCUAAGUUGCAAAAAAAGGUAGCAGAAUUGGAAGAGAACAUUUCACAGUUAAAUGGCUCUAAUAAUAAUUUGGUCCAAACUAUACAAGAGCAAGACCAAUACAUUACAAAGCUGGAAAAAAAAAUUUCUGUGUUGGAAAAUGAAAUACAGACACUGCAGGUGUUGAAUAAGCAAGUAAAUGUUGUUGAACUUGCAAAGAAAUUUGAUCCUGUUUUAACUGAAAAUCAAAUUAAUUUAAUUUUAAAAAAGAAGUUAAGAGUGACCUGGACAAAAGAAGAAAUAGCAAGAGCAUUUACUUUACGGUAUUUCAGCAAGAAAGCAUACUGUUUUAUGAGAAAUGAAGGCUAUCCUUUACCAAAUUUAAAGACUUUGCAAUAUUAUGCCAGAAAAAUUAAUCUGAGAAAUGGGAUAUUGCACGAUAUUUUAAACUUAAUGAAUGUCAUGGGGAAGGACCUUUCAGAAACAGAA
This is a long non-coding RNA of Zophobas morio, 960 nucleotides long. RefSeq lists it as uncharacterized. NCBI's taxonomy places the organism in Eukaryota, Metazoa, Arthropoda, Insecta, Coleoptera, Tenebrionidae. The record is from RefSeq and is a predicted model, not a curated record. The transcript has 3 exons.